This is a small nucleolar RNA of Tachyglossus aculeatus (Australian echidna), 138 nucleotides long. The record is from RefSeq and is a predicted model, not a curated record. NCBI's taxonomy places the organism in Eukaryota, Metazoa, Chordata, Mammalia, Monotremata, Tachyglossidae.
CCCCUCUCAGGACUGCACCUGGAAAGUUUCCAGUAUUUUACCAGUCUUGGCUACGGGAGGGAGAGUCAAGCAAAGGCACGCUUAUUCCAUUCCUAGCUUGGUCAGUGGCUAGGGAGUGGAAGGCAAUCUUCUACAAGU